RNAcentral lists this ribosomal RNA (523 nucleotides) under uncultured bacterium. RNAcentral's name for it is "bacterial SSU rRNA". It matches the Rfam family "Bacterial small subunit ribosomal RNA", at positions 8 to 518 of the family's 1533-position model. The record is from RNAcentral.
AGAGUUUGAUUAUGGCUCAGGAUGAACGCUAGCUACAGGCUUAACACAUGCAAGUCGAGGGGCAGCAUGAAACUUAGCUUGCUAAGUUUGAUGGCGACCGGCGCACGGGUGAGUAACACGUAUCCAACCUACCGUUUACUACGGGAUAGUCUUCUGAAAAGGAGAUUAAUACCGUAUGGUAUUCUAAAGUUUCAUGACAUUAGAAUUAAAGGUUUACCGGUAAUCGAUGGGGAUGCGUUCCAUUAGAUAGUAGGCGGGGUAACGGCCCACCUAGUCAGCGAUGGAUAGGGGUUCUGAGAGGAAGGUCCCCCACAUUGGAACUGAGACACGGUUCAAACUCCUACGGGAGGCAGCAGUGGGGAAUAUUGGUCAAUGGGCGAGAGCCUGAACCAGCCAAGUAAGCGUGAAGGAUGACUGCCCUAUGGGUUGUAAACUUCUUUUAUAAAGGAAUAAAGUGGUCCACGUGUGGAUUUUUGUAUGUACUUUAUGAAUAAGGAUCGGCUAACUCCGUGCCAGCAGCGGC